RNAcentral lists this ribosomal RNA (1022 nucleotides) under Chaetophoma sp. CBS 119963. Its description in RNAcentral is "SSU rRNA". It matches the Rfam family "Eukaryotic small subunit ribosomal RNA", at positions 75 to 1105 of the family's 1831-position model. Lineage: Eukaryota; Fungi; Ascomycota; Dothideomycetes; Pleosporales. The record is from RNAcentral.
UAUACCGUGAAACUGCGAAUGGCUCAUUAAAUCAGUUAUCGUUUAUUUGAUAGUACCUUACUACUUGGAUAACCGUGGUAAUUCUAGAGCUAAUACAUGCUAAAAACCCCGACUUCGGGAGGGGUGUAUUUAUUAGAUAAAAAACCAAUGCCCUUCGGGGCUCCUUGGUGAAUCAUAAUAACUUAACGGAUCGCAUGGCCUUGCGCCGGCGACGGUUCAUUCAAAUUUCUGCCCUAUCAACUUUCGAUUGUAGGGUAUUGGCCUACAAUGGUAUCAACGGGUAACGGGGAAUUAGGGUUCGAUUCCGGAGAGGGAGCCUGAGAAACGGCUACCACAUCCAAGGAAGGCAGCAGGCGCGCAAAUUACCCAAUCCCGACACGGGGAGGUAGUGACAAUAAAUACUGAUACAGGGCUCUUUUGGGUCUUGUAAUUGGAAUGAGUACAAUUUAAAUCCCUUAACGAGGAACAAUUGGAGGGCAAGUCUGGUGCCAGCAGCCGCGGUAAUUCCAGCUCCAAUAGCGUAUAUUAAAGUUGUUGCAGUUAAAAAGCUCGUAGUUGAACCUUGGGCCUGGCUGGCCGGUCCGCCUCACCGCGUGCACUGGUCCGGCCGGGCCUUUCCUUCUGGAGAACCGCAUGCCCUUCACUGGGUGUGUCGGGGAACCAGGACUUUUACUGUGAAAAAAUUAGAGUGUUCAAAGCAGGCCUUUGCUCGAAUACAUUAGCAUGGAAUAAUAGAAUAGGACGUGCGGUCCUAUUUUGUUGGUUUCUAGGACCGCCGUAAUGAUUAAUAGGGAUAGUCGGGGGCAUCAGUAUUCAAUUGUCAGAGGUGAAAUUCUUGGAUUUAUUGAAGACUAACUACUGCGAAAGCAUUUGCCAAGGAUGUUUUCAUUAAUCAGUGAACGAAAGUUAGGGGAUCGAAGACGAUCAGAUACCGUCGUAGUCUUAACCGUAAACUAUGCCGACUAGGGAUCGGGCGAUGUUAUUAUUUUGACUCGCUCGGCACCUUACGAGAAAUCAAAGUU